RNAcentral lists this transfer RNA (82 nucleotides) under Dallia pectoralis (Alaska blackfish). Its description in RNAcentral is "tRNA-Ser". It matches the Rfam family "tRNA". Rfam says of the family: Transfer RNA (tRNA) molecules are approximately 80 nucleotides in length. Their secondary structure includes four short double-helical elements and three loops (D, anti-codon, and T loops). Further hydrogen bonds mediate the characteristic L-shaped molecular structure. tRNAs have two regions of fundamental functional importance: the anti-codon, which is responsible for specific mRNA codon recognition, and the 3' end, to which the tRNAs corresponding amino acid is attached (by aminoacyl-tRNA synthetases). tRNAs cope with the degeneracy of the genetic code in two manners: having more than one tRNA (with a specific anti-codon) for a particular amino acid; and 'wobble' base-pairing, i.e. permitting non-standard base-pairing at the 3rd anti-codon position. Lineage: Eukaryota; Metazoa; Chordata; Actinopteri; Esociformes; Umbridae. The record is from RNAcentral.
GCUGUGAUGGCCGAGUGGUUAAGGCGUUUCUUUUGAAAUCCAAUGGGGUUUCCCCACGCAGGUUCGAACCCUGCUCUCAGCG